GAUGAACGCUGGCGGCGUGCCUAAUACAUGCAAGUCGAGCGAACGGACGAGAAGCUUGCUUCUCUGAUGUUAGCGGCGGACGGGUGAGUAACACGUGGAUAACCUACCUAUAAGACUGGGAUAACUUCGGGAAACCGGAGCUAAUACCGGAUAAUAUUUUGAACCGCAUGGUUCAAAAGUGAAAGACGGUCUUGCUGUCACUUAUAGAUGGAUCUGCGCUGCAUUAGCUAGUUGGUAAGGUAACGGCUUACCAAGGCAACGAUGCAUAGCCGACCUGAGAGGGUGAUCGGCCACACCGGAACUGAGACACGGUCCAGACUCCUACGGGAGGCAGCAGUAGGGAAUCUUCCGCAAUGGGCGAAAGCCUGACGGAGCAACGCCGCGUGAGUGAUGAAGGUCUUCGGAUCGUAAAACUCUGUUAUUAGGGAAGAACAUAUGUGUAAGUAACUGUGCACAUCUUGACGGGACCUAAUCAGAAAGCCACGGCUAACUACGU
RNAcentral lists this ribosomal RNA (496 nucleotides) under uncultured bacterium. Its description in RNAcentral is "partial 16S ribosomal RNA". It matches the Rfam family "Bacterial small subunit ribosomal RNA", at positions 28 to 506 of the family's 1533-position model. The record is from RNAcentral.